Molecule: ribosomal RNA, 497 nt
Filed under: uncultured bacterium
Lineage: Bacteria
Description: partial 16S ribosomal RNA
Rfam family: Bacterial small subunit ribosomal RNA
Source: RNAcentral
GACGAACGCUGGCGGCGUGCCUAAUACAUGCAAGUAGAACGCUGAAGAGAGGAGCUUCCUCUUCUUGGAUGAGUUGCGAACGGGUGAGUAACGCGUAGGUAACCUGCCUUGUAGCGGGGGAUAACUAUUGGAAACGAUAGCUAAUACCGCAUAACAAUGGAUGACACAUGUCAUUUAUUUGAAAGGGGCAAUUGCUCCACUACAAGAUGGACCUGCGUUGUAUUAGCUAGUAGGUGAGGUAAUGGCUCACCUAGGCGACGAUACAUAGCCGACCUGAGAGGGUGAUCGGCCACACUGGGACUGAGACACGGCCCAGACUCCUACGGGAGGCAGCAGUAGGGAAUCUUCGGCAAUGGGGGCAACCCUGACCGUGCAACGCCGCGUGAGUGAAGAAGGGUUUCGGAUCGUAAAGCUCUGUUGUAAGUCAAGAACGGGUGUGAGAGUGGAAAGUUCACACUGUGACGGUAGCUUACCAGAAAGGGACGGCUAACUACGUG